AACUGAUAAAGCAAGUUUUGAUGGCGAAACGACAGUAAGUGACGCACAACGAAACGAGAAACUAAACUUUAACUAUGAUGAAAGUGAACUGG
This 92-nucleotide transfer RNA is filed under the name Shewanella piezotolerans WP3. Its description in RNAcentral is "tRNA-Ser". Lineage: Bacteria; Pseudomonadati; Pseudomonadota; Gammaproteobacteria; Alteromonadales; Shewanellaceae. The record is from RNAcentral.